AGGCGAACAAGCUAACCAUCACGAGUCGAGCGGCAGCGCAGAAGAAGCUUGCUUCUUUGCGCUGGACGAGCGGCGGACGGGUGAGUAAAGUCUGGGAAACUGCCUGAUGGCGGGGGAUAACUACUGGAAACGGUAGCUAAUACCGCAUAAUGUCUUCGGACCAAAGAGGGGGACCUUCGGGCCUCUCGCCAUCGGAUGUGCCCAGAUGGGAUUAGCUGGUAGGUGGGGUAAUGGCUCACCUAGGCGACGAUCCCUAGCUGGUCUGAGAGGAUGACCAGCCACACUGGAACUGAGACACGGUCCAGACUCCUACGGGAGGCAGCAGUGGGGAAUAUUGCACAAUGGGGGAAACCCUGAUGCAGCCAUGCCGCGUGUGUGAAGAAGGCCUUCGGGUUGUAAAGCACUUUCAGCGGGGAGGAAGGCGACAAAGUUAAUAACUUUGUUCAUUGACGUUACCCGCAGAAGAAGCACCGGCUAACUCCGUGCCAGCAGCCGCGGUAAUACGGAGGGUGCAAGCGUUAAUCGGAAUGACUGGGCGUAAAGCGCACGCAGGCGGUCUGUUAAGUUGGAUGUGAAAUCCCCGGGCUUAACCUGGGAACUGCAUUCAAAACUGACAGGCUAGAGUCUCGUAGAGGGGGGUAGAAUUCCAGGUGUAGCGGUGAAAUGCGUAGAGAUCUGGAGGAAUACCGGUGGCGAAGGCGGCCCCCUGGACGAAGACUGACGCUCAGGUGCGAAAGCGUGGGGAGCAAACAGGAUUAGAUACCCUGGUAGUCCACGCUGUAAACGAUGUCGACUUGGAGGUUGCGGUCUAGAACUGUGGCUUCCGGAGCUAACGCGUUAAGUCGACCGCCUGGGGAGUACGGCCGCAAGGUUAAAACUCAAAUGAAUUGACGGGGCCCGCACAAGCGGUGGAGCAUGUGGUUUAAUUCGAUGCACGCGAAGAACCUUACCUACUCUUGACAUCCUCAGAAGAAACUGGAGACGGUUUGUGCCUUCGGGAACUGAGAGACAGUGCUGCAUGGCUGUCGUCAGCUCGUGUUGUGAAUGUGGGUAGUCCGCAACGAGCGCACCCUUAUCCUUUGUUGCCAGCACUUCGGGUGGGAACUCAAGGAGAACUGCCGGUGAUAAACCGGAGGAAGUUG
This 1142-nucleotide ribosomal RNA is filed under the name Brenneria sp. RNAcentral's name for it is "bacterial SSU rRNA". It matches the Rfam family "Bacterial small subunit ribosomal RNA", at positions 37 to 1175 of the family's 1533-position model. The record is from RNAcentral. Lineage: Bacteria; Pseudomonadati; Pseudomonadota; Gammaproteobacteria; Enterobacterales; Pectobacteriaceae.